Molecule: unclassified non-coding RNA, 240 nt
Filed under: soil metagenome
Description: partial contains 5.8S ribosomal RNA, internal transcribed spacer 2, and large subunit ribosomal RNA
Source: RNAcentral
AACGCACGAGACCUGCGGACCUGCGGAAGGAUCAUUGACAAAUCUAAACACACUGUUGCAGCUUGGAGAAGGAGUGGAGCGUUCUGUUCUGCUGCUGCUUCAAGUUGCCAACAACAUCCUAACCUGUGAAUUGGCAGUGCGCAAGUGCUGCUUGUUGGUGGUGGGUGGUGGUGACAUUUUGCUCUCAUUGCACUUUUCCCUCCGCUCUCCCCAAACAUUUACGUAAUUGUCUUACACAAC